AUUGAACGCUGGCGGCAGGCCUAACACAUGCAAGUCGAACGAGUGGCGGACGGGUGAGUAAUGUCUGGGAAACUGCCUGAUGGAGGGGGAUAACUACUGGAAACGGUAGAUAAUAACGCAUACCAUCAGAUGUGCCCAGAUGGGAUUAGCUAGUUGGUGGGGUAACGGCUCACCAAGGCGACGAUCCCUAGCUGGUCUGAGAGGAUGACCAGCCACACUGGAACUGAGACACUGUCCAGCCUCCUACGUGAGGCACCAGUUGGGAAUAUUGCACAAUGGGCGCAAGCCUGAUUCAGACAUUCCGCGUGUAUGAAGAAGUCCUUCGGGUUGUAAAGUACUUUCAGCGGGGAGGCGUUACCCGCAGAAGAAGCACCGGCUAACUCCGUGCCAGCAGCCGCGGUAAUAC
This 406-nucleotide ribosomal RNA is filed under the name uncultured bacterium. RNAcentral's name for it is "partial 16S ribosomal RNA". It matches the Rfam family "Bacterial small subunit ribosomal RNA", at positions 30 to 526 of the family's 1533-position model. The record is from RNAcentral.